RNAcentral lists this ribosomal RNA (1894 nucleotides) under seawater metagenome. RNAcentral describes it as "bacterial LSU rRNA". It matches the Rfam family "Bacterial large subunit ribosomal RNA", at positions 1 to 1976 of the family's 2925-position model. The record is from RNAcentral.
UCAAGCGCGAGAAGGGCGUUUGGUGGAUGCCUUGGCAGUAAGAGGCGAUGAAGGACGUGAUACUCUGCGAUAAGCUUUGGGAAGUCGAGAAUAGACGCUAUACCCAAAGAUCUCCGAAUGGGGCAACCCAACUGAUACUUUGUUAUUGUUACACUUUUGUGUAAUCAAUAAUGGGGUAAAACAGUUAUUAAUUACCUGAAUACAUAGGGUUUUUAAAGCAAACCUGGGGAACUGAAACAUCUAAGUACCCAGAGGAAAGGAAAUCAAUAGAUACUCCCGUAGUAGUGGCGAGCGAACCGGGACCAGCCGAGCGAUGAAUGUGACUAGAACCAGUUGGAAAGCUGGGCAAUAUGGGUGACAGCCCCGUAUAGGAAGCAUGAUUUGACGUAUUAAGUAGGGCGGAACACGUGAAAUUCUGUCUGAACAUGGGGGGACCACCCUCUAAGGCUAAGUACUCCUUACUGACCGAUAGCGAACCAGUACCGUGAGGGAAAGGUGAAAAGCACCCCGACGAGGGGAGUGAAACAGUUUCUGAAACCGGACGCCUACAAUCAGUCGGAGGCCCCUUGAGGGCUGACGGCGUACCUUUUGUAUAAUGGGUCAUCGACUUAGUGUAUCUAGCAAGCUUAAGCCGUUAGGUGUAGGCGCAGCGAAAGCGAGUCUUAAUAGGGCGAUUGAGUUAGAUGCAUUAGACCCGAAACCGAGUGAUCUAGGCAUGGCCAGGUUGAAGGUAAGGUAACACUUACUGGAGGACCGAACCCACAUCCGUUGAAAAGGAUCGGGAUGAGCUGUGCCUAGGGGUGAAAGGCCAAUCAAACUCGGAGAUAGCUGGUUCUCCGCGAAAUCUAUUUAGGUAGAGCGUCAUCCGAAUACCCCGGGGGGUAGAGCACUGGAUGGGUAAUGGGGCCCCACAGGCUUACUGAUCCUAACCAAACUCCGAAUACCCGGGAGUAAUAGAUGGCAGACACACUGCGGGUGCUAACGCCCGUAGUGAAAAGGGAAACAACCCUGACCGACAGUUAAGGCCCCUAAUUCAUGGCUAAGUGGAAAAGCAGGUGAGACGACCAUAACAACCAGGAAGUUGGCUUAGAAGCAGCCAUCUUUUAAAGAUAGCGUAACAGCUCACUGGUCUAAUUAAGUUGUCUUGCGGCGAAAAUGUAACGGGGCUCAAGCCAUGAGCCGAAACUUCGGAUGCAUUUAUGCAUGGUAGCGGAGCGUAGUGUGACAUAGUUCCAUGCGUCUUUAACUUCCUUCGGGGAGUAUUGGACGCAAGGAGCUUUCUGUGAAGCCGGCCUGUGAGGGAUCCGGUGGAGAGAUCACUAGUGAGAAUGAUGACAUGAGUAACGACAAAGGGGGUGAGAGACCCCCUCGCCGAAAAUCCAAGGGUUCCUGCUUAAAGCUAAUCUGAGCAGGGUGAGCCGGCCCCUAAGCCGAGGGCGAAAGCCGUAGGCGAUGGGAACCAGGUUAAUAUUCCUGGGCCAGGAGGAAGUGACGGAUCAUGAAGAUUGUUGGAUCAGGCGUAGUUGCCCCAGCAGUUAAUUGGUUCCUGGAAAUAGCCCUCCAUCAGACCGUACCCUAAACCGACACAGGUGGAUAGGUAGAGUAUACCAAGGCGCUUGAGAGAACUAUGUUGAAGGAACUCGGCAAAAUACCUCCGUAAGUUCGCGAGAAGGAGGCCCGGUUUCUAGGCAACUGGAAGCUGGGGGCACAAACCAGGGGGUGGCGACUGUUUACUAAAAACACAGGGCUCUGCGAAGUCGUAAGACGACGUAUAGGGUCUGACGCCUGCCCGGUGCCUGAAGGUUAAAAGGAGGGGUGAGAGCUCCGAAUUGAAGCCCAGGUAAACGGCGGCCGUAACUAUAACGGUCCUAAGGUAGCGAAAUUCCUUGUCGGG